UGGGGAAUAUUCGUCAAUGGGCGAAAGCCUGAACGAGCGAUGCCGCGUGUGGGAUGAAGGCCCUUGGGUCGUAAACCACUUUUGUUAUAGAAAAACUUACGUGAUGGUAUAUAGCGAAUAAGAGGUUACUAACUCUGUGCCAGCAGUAGCGGUAAUACAGAGACCUCAAGCGUUAUCCGGAUUUAUUGGGCGUAAGGAGCAGGUAGGUGGAAAUAUUAGUCAGAUGUCAAAUCCUUCGACUCAAUCGAAGAACUGCAUUUGAAACGGUAUUUCUAGAGGGAGUGAGAGAUUACUGGAACUUAUGGUGUAGCAGUGAAAUGCGUUGAUAUCAUGAGGAACACCAAAGGCGAAGGCAUGUAAUUGGCACUCUCCUGACACUGAGCUGCGAAAGCGUGGGUAGCGAAUGGGAUUAGAUACCCCAGUAGUCCCUGAGCGGGCUGGCAAGGCGCAU
This 451-nucleotide ribosomal RNA is filed under the name uncultured bacterium. RNAcentral's name for it is "bacterial SSU rRNA". It matches the Rfam family "Bacterial small subunit ribosomal RNA", at positions 355 to 825 of the family's 1533-position model. The record is from RNAcentral.